UUAGCUGGUCUGACCUUCCUCGCCU
RNAcentral lists this microRNA (25 nucleotides) under Oreochromis niloticus (Nile tilapia). RNAcentral describes it as "oni-miR-10754". Lineage: Eukaryota; Metazoa; Chordata; Actinopteri; Cichliformes; Cichlidae. The record is from miRBase by way of RNAcentral.